This 403-nucleotide ribosomal RNA is filed under the name uncultured bacterium. RNAcentral's name for it is "partial 16S ribosomal RNA". It matches the Rfam family "Bacterial small subunit ribosomal RNA", at positions 30 to 526 of the family's 1533-position model. The record is from RNAcentral.
AUUGAACGCUGGCGGCAGGCCUAACACAUGCAAGUCGAGCGAGCGGCGGACGGGUGAGUAAUGUACGGGGAAUGCCCGCUUGAGGGGGAUAACUACUGGUAACGGUAGCUAAUACCGCAGCCUAUCGGAUGAACCAUAUGGGUUUAGCUAGUGGGUGGGGUAAUGGCUAACCUGGGCGAGGAUCCCUGCCUGGUCUGGGGGGAUGAUCAGCCAAACGGGAACUGAGACACGGCCCAGACUCCUCCGGGGGGCACAGUGGGGAAUAUUGGACAAGGGGCACAGUCCUAAUGCACCAAGUCCGCGUGUAGGAAGAAGGCCCUAGGGUUGUAAAGUACUUUCAGUCGGGAGGCGUUACCGACAGAAGAAGCAACGGCUAACUCCGUGCCAGCAGCCGCGGUAAUAC